This 391-nucleotide ribosomal RNA is filed under the name uncultured bacterium. Its description in RNAcentral is "bacterial SSU rRNA". It matches the Rfam family "Bacterial small subunit ribosomal RNA", at positions 28 to 426 of the family's 1533-position model. The record is from RNAcentral.
GAUGAACGCUAGCGGCAGGCUUAACACAUGCAAGUCGAGGGGUAUAGUAGCAAUACUAGAGACCGGCAAACGGGUGCGGAACACGUACAGAACCUACCUUGGUCUGGGGCAUAGCCCGAAGAAAUUCGGAUUAACACCCCAUAAUAUAGAUGAGUGGCAUCACUCGACUAUUAAAAUUAUUGGAUCAAGAUGGCUGUGCGUCCCAUUAGCUAGUUGGUAGGGUAACGGCCACCAAGGCGACGAUGGGUAGCUGGUGUGAGAGCACGACCAGCCACACGGGCACUGAGACACGGGCCCGACUCCUACGGGAGGCAGCAGUGAGGAAUAUUGGUCAAUGGACGCAAGUCUGAACCAGCCAUGCCGCGUGAAGGAUGAAGGCCUUCUGGGUUGU